AUGGCUGGUAAGCAGGGCCGCAAGAAGGCGAGGAGUCCCCCCGGAUGCCCUCAGCUGCGUCCGAUCGGCAGCACCGUCUCCGGAUCGAAGAAGCCUGCGGCGGCGACGGUUCCUUCGUGCAAGUACCACCUGUCGGAGGCGUCUGUCCAGGCGGUCCUAAACCACAAGAGGGUGCCUUUCGUCCUUGGGGACUACUUCGACGACCUGACCCCCGAGGAGCAGCAACUCACGCUCGAGGUGGCCGCCCAGCACGAGGAGGUCGAGGACAGGUACGCCAAGUACCAGGAAAGAGUCCGCAAGGAGCUGGAUGAGAAGGGAUUCGUCGCGCUCCCCGAUGACGUUGACAAGAGGAGGGCCGCGCUGAACGCGCGCUGA
Molecule: ribosomal RNA, 375 nt
Filed under: Triticum aestivum (bread wheat)
Lineage: Eukaryota; Viridiplantae; Streptophyta; Magnoliopsida; Poales; Poaceae
Description: partial small subunit ribosomal RNA
Source: RNAcentral